Rhododendron vialii is the source of this 104-nucleotide small nucleolar RNA. RefSeq annotates it as small nucleolar RNA snoR100. Lineage: Eukaryota; Viridiplantae; Streptophyta; Magnoliopsida; Ericales; Ericaceae. The transcript has a single exon. The record is from RefSeq and is a predicted model, not a curated record.
CAAUGAAGGAAGUAUGGUAAUAUGCACAGAAAUUGAAUUGGGUCUUUAGGCCUGUCUUUUCUGAUGUCAUUUGGCGAUUUGGAGGCAUGAUCGGCAACAAAAUA